This 253-nucleotide ribosomal RNA is filed under the name uncultured bacterium. RNAcentral describes it as "partial 16S ribosomal RNA". It matches the Rfam family "Bacterial small subunit ribosomal RNA", at positions 524 to 776 of the family's 1533-position model. The record is from RNAcentral.
UACGUGGGGUGCGAGCGUUGUCCGGAAUUAUUGGGCGUAAAGGGCUCGUAGGCGGUUUGUCGCGUCGGGCGUGAAAACCAUGGGCUUAACUCAUGGCUUGCUUCCGAUACGGGCAGACUAGAGGUAUGCAGGGGAGAACGGAAUUCCUGGUGUAGCGGUGAAAUGCGCAGAUAUCAGGAGGAACACCGGUGGCGAAGGCGGUUCUCUGGGCAUUACCUGACGCUGAGGAGCGAAAGUGUGGGGAGCGAACAGG